Halobacillus halophilus DSM 2266 is the source of this 107-nucleotide non-coding RNA. The record is from Rfam. NCBI's taxonomy places the organism in Bacteria, Bacillati, Bacillota, Bacilli, Caryophanales, Bacillaceae.
ACUACCUUUAAGGAAGUCCCGUGAGGCUUAAAAGGUCGUAAUGAUAUACGUGUUCCAAUAACACGUCUACCUCUUUGCGCACUUUUAAGCAAGGAGGUUUUUUUAUG